This 217-nucleotide unclassified non-coding RNA is filed under the name soil metagenome. RNAcentral describes it as "partial contains 5.8S ribosomal RNA, internal transcribed spacer 2, and large subunit ribosomal RNA". The record is from RNAcentral.
AACCUUAUGGACCUGCGGGCGUAUACCUGCGGAAGGAUCAUUACAAGUGACCCCGGUUUACCACCGGGAUGUUCAUAACCCUUUGUUGUCCGACUCUGUUGCCUCCGGGGCGACCCUGCCUUCGGGCGGGGGCUCCGGGUGGACACUUCAAACUCUUGCGUAACUUUGCAGUCUGAGUAAACUUAAUUAAUAAAUUAAAACUUUUAACAAUGGAUCU